RNAcentral lists this transfer RNA (61 nucleotides) under Trichonephila inaurata madagascariensis. RNAcentral describes it as "tRNA-Thr". The record is from RNAcentral. Lineage: Eukaryota; Metazoa; Arthropoda; Arachnida; Araneae; Nephilidae.
CGGUUUAGUGGUUAAUGACGUUGACUUUUGUGCUGUAGGGCCUGGGUUCGAAUCCCGGAGA